CAGCAGUCAAGAAUAUUAGUCAAUGGCCUAACGGCUGAACUGGCAACUUGGAGAAGUGGCAAGUCUUCCAGUAUGGGGAGCAAAACAGCUAUGGGUCAAGUCCGAUAUCUUUAGGAGAAGUCUUAUUGUGAGGGCGAGUUAUAUAACACCAUAGGACUGGCCGUCCCAUAUGAAAAGAUUAUAUUAGAAUUGAAUGAAGCUUUGUUUAUAUAUUGAUAAUGACAGUAUAUAUAUCGUGUCUUGACUAAUUGCGUGCCAGCAGUCGCGGUAAUACGUAAGAGACUAGUGUUAUUCAUCUUAAUUAGGUUUAAAGGGUACCCAGACGGUCAAUAUAGCUUAUAAAAUGUUAGUACUUGACUAGAGUUUUAUGUAAGAGGGCAGUACUUGAGGAGGAGAGAUGAAAUUUCGUGAUACCAAAGGGACUCUGUAAAGGCGAAGGCAGCCCUCUAUGUAAAAACUGACGUUGAAGGACGAAGGCACAGAGAACAAACAGGAUUAGAUACCCAAGUAGUCUUUGCAGUAAAUGAUGAAUGCCAUAGGUUAGAUUGGUCAAUUAUAGUCUAGGGUUAGUCUAGCAAACUAAUACCCUAUGCUAUAAUCCUAAUAUCUGGUCUAUAAAUGAAAGUGUAAGCAUUUCACCUCAAGAGUAAUGUGGCAACGCAGGAACUGAAAUCACUAGACCGUUUCUGACACCAGUAGUGAAGUAUGUUAUUUAAUUCGAUAAUCCGC
Molecule: ribosomal RNA, 729 nt
Filed under: Fusarium oxysporum
Lineage: Eukaryota; Fungi; Ascomycota; Sordariomycetes; Hypocreales; Nectriaceae
Description: SSU rRNA
Rfam family: Bacterial small subunit ribosomal RNA
Source: RNAcentral